This 1422-nucleotide long non-coding RNA is filed under the name Calidris pugnax (ruff). RNAcentral describes it as "lncRNA (ENSCPUG00000008846.1)". Lineage: Eukaryota; Metazoa; Chordata; Aves; Charadriiformes; Scolopacidae. The record is from RNAcentral.
GGGAACAUGCAAUGACUGCUCCUUGUGGUCCUGCAGGCUCCUUCUUCUGCCGUUGGUGUGCAGCUUCUUUGUCUAAUUUGCAGCCAUAGUGUGGUCAUUUUUUCCCUUUGUCCUUUACAUCCUUCUGGUUGUUUUUCCUCCAUGUCAGUAAAAGAAUAAACUUUUCUUACUUUUCACCUUACUGUCCUUAAUGAUACCAACCCCUUUGAUAGGAUGAGGGGGAAUGGCUUCAAACAGGAAGAAAGAUUUAAAUUUGAUAUUAGGAAGAAAUUCUUUGCUGUGAGGAUGUUGAGACCCUGGCCCAGGUUGCUGUGGCCAGAGAAGCUGUGGCUGCCCCAUCCCUGGAGGGGUUCAAGACCAGGUUGGAUGGGGCUUUGAGCAACCUGCUCUAGUGGGAAGUGUCGCUGCCCAGGGCAGGGGGUUGGAGCUUGAUGAUCUUUAAUGUUCCUUCCAACCCAAACCAUUCUAUGAUUUUAUGAAUAUCUUCCUCAAGACAAGCUGCCAGCUUUAUAGUUGCUUGAGUGCCCUGAACAGGAAGGCAGCUGAGAUGUCCACCUUCAGGUUAUCAAAAUCCAUGUUUGGGUCCCAGCUGGGUAAACUCUUCAUCUGGCACAAAGCCUGGCUUUGCAUUACAGUCGGUAAAGCACAGACAAAUAUUAGUGCUGCUCUGUAGACCUAAAGCUGAAUUUCUGCUCUCUGGUUCCACAAGCAUCUCAUUUGCCCUCAUAUUUCAAGGGCUUUGGAAGUAACUUGUAAGCCCUGUGUUUGCUUAUGUCUUCUCUAAGCUUGGAGGUCUCUCUGAUGGGCGAGAUGGAGUCCAGCCACUGUGCCUGGAGGGAACAGGAGGCAGCUCACUCUGCACCAUUGCACCCAACACUGGGAAGAAGCUCUGAUUUCCAGGCAGGUUUUGGCUAAGUCAGGUCUGGGCAGGUUUCCACGGGGCUCACCAAGGCCACUGAAUGGACAGCAGGGCUUUUCCCUGACUGGAUUUCAUCCCGUUUAUCGUAAGUUGUGGACGUGCUGUGAGGACAAAGGUUGGGCAAUUGUACCAAAGGUCUGUCGUCCCUUCCUGUCAUUUGCACAGAGGACACUGGAGGAAGAGGAUGGAAAAGGGAAGGUAAAGGAUCCUGUGGCUUCAAGUUGGCUGAGGACAUCCCAUCAUCAGAGGUGGCACAGGCACAAAAGGGUAAACAGGAGGAAAGAGUCAUUUUAUCCUAUUUCAGGGUCUUCUUCAGGAGGUAAGUGAUUGUUAGACCCUAAAAGCUCAGUUCAGAGCUCUGUGCCUCUAAGAAGACAUUUAUGGAUUUAAUACUCACAGUGUUUAUUCCUGCCCUUUUAUAUUUCAUCAUUUGAUUAAGUAAAUAUUUUUUUAAGAUAGAAACCCAAACCCAAACAAUAAAACCAAAUGCUCCUGACUACUCA